This is a non-coding RNA of Podarcis lilfordi (Lilford's wall lizard), 80 nucleotides long. The record is from the annotation of a GenBank genome assembly. NCBI's taxonomy places the organism in Eukaryota, Metazoa, Chordata, Lepidosauria, Squamata, Lacertidae.
GGGGAAUGAUUGUAACUCAAUGGUAAAAGAGUGUCUGCUUUGCAUGCAGAAUGUCCAAGGUUCAAUUCUCUCCAUCUCUA